UGGGGAAUUUUGGACAAUGGGCGAAAGCCUGAUCCAGCAAUGCCGCGUGUGUGAAGAAGGCCUUCGGGUUGUAAAGCACUUUUGUCCGGAAAGAAAUCCUUGGCUCUAAUACAGUCGGGGGAUGACGGUACCGGAAGAAUAAGCACCGGCUAACUACGUGCCAGCAGCCGCGGUAAUACGUAGGGUGCAAGCGUUAAUCGGAAUUACUGGGCGUAAAGCGUGCGCAGGCGGUUUGCUAAGACCGAUGUGAAAUCCCCGGGCUCAACCUGGGAACUGCAUUGGUGACUGGCAGGCUAGAGUAUGGCAGAGGGGGGUAGAAUUCCACGUGUAGCAGUGAAAUGCGUAGAGAUGUGGAGGAAUACCGAUGGCGAAGGCAGCCCCCUGGGCCAAAUACUGACGCUCAUGCACGAAAGCGUGGGGAGCAAACAGGAUUAGAUACCCUGGUAGUCCACGCCCUAAACGAUGUCAACUAGUUGUUGGGGAUUCAUUUCCUUAGUAACGUAGCUAACGCGUGAAGUUGACCGCCUGGGGAGUACGGUCGCAAGAUUAAAACUUAAAUGAAUUGACGGGGUCAUAGCUGUUUCCU
This 586-nucleotide ribosomal RNA is filed under the name uncultured bacterium. RNAcentral's name for it is "partial 16S ribosomal RNA". It matches the Rfam family "Bacterial small subunit ribosomal RNA", at positions 355 to 1375 of the family's 1533-position model. The record is from RNAcentral.